RNAcentral lists this ribosomal RNA (207 nucleotides) under uncultured bacterium. Its description in RNAcentral is "partial 16S ribosomal RNA". It matches the Rfam family "Bacterial small subunit ribosomal RNA", at positions 568 to 774 of the family's 1533-position model. The record is from RNAcentral.
UCCGUAGGUGGUCAUGCAAGUCUGCUGUCAAAGCCCACAGCUUAACUGUGGAUCGGCGGUGGAAACUGUGUGACUUGAGUACGGUAGGGGUAGAGGGAAUUCCCAGUGUAGCGGUGAAAUGCGUAGAUAUUGGGAAGAACACCGGUGGCGAAAGCGCUCUACUGGACCGUAACUGACACUGAGGGACGAAAGCCAAGGUAGCGAAAG